RNAcentral lists this ribosomal RNA (609 nucleotides) under uncultured Enterobacter sp. Its description in RNAcentral is "bacterial SSU rRNA". It matches the Rfam family "Bacterial small subunit ribosomal RNA", at positions 336 to 931 of the family's 1533-position model. Lineage: Bacteria; Pseudomonadati; Pseudomonadota; Gammaproteobacteria; Enterobacterales; Enterobacteriaceae. The record is from RNAcentral.
CUCCUACGGGAGGCAGCAGUGGGGAAUAUUGCACAAUGGGCGCAAGCCUGAUGCAGCCAUGCCGCGUGUAUGAAGAAGGCCUUCGGGUUGUAAAGUACUUUCAGCGGGGAGGAAGGUGUUGAGGUUAAUAACCUCAGCACCUGACGUUACCCGCAUAAGAAGCACCGGCUAACUCCGUGCCAGCAGCCGCGGUAACACGGAGGGUGCAAGCGUUAAUCGGAAUUACUGGGCGUAAAGCGCACGCAGGCGGUCUGUCAAGUCGGAUGUGAAAUCCCCGGGCUCAACCUGGGAACUGCAUUCGAAACUGGCAGGCUAGAGUCUUGUAGAGGGGGGUAGAAUUUCAGGUGUAAGCGGUGAAAUGCGUAGAGAUCUGGAGGAAUACCGGUGGCAAAGCGGCCCCCCUGGACAAAGACUGACGCUUAAGGUGCGAAAAGCGUGGGUGAGCAAACAGGAUUAGAUACCCUGGUAGUCCACGCCGUAAACGAUGUCGACUUUGAGGUUGUGCCCCUUGUAGGAGUCGCUUACCGAGCUCUCCCGUUAAGUUCACCGCCUGGGGAGUACCGCCCCAAAGGUAAAACUCAAAUGAAUCGACUGGGGCCCGUACAAGCG